RNAcentral lists this ribosomal RNA (250 nucleotides) under uncultured bacterium. RNAcentral describes it as "partial 16S ribosomal RNA". It matches the Rfam family "Bacterial small subunit ribosomal RNA", at positions 116 to 354 of the family's 1533-position model. The record is from RNAcentral.
CGUGGAUAACCUGCCGUGCACAGGGGGAUAACACUUAGAGAUAGGUGCUAAUACCGCAUAAGCGCACAGUUUCGCAUGAGACGGUGUGAAAAGCCUGGAAGCGAUUCCUGGCGGUGCAUGAUGGAUCCGCGUCCGAUUAGCUAGUUGGCGGGGUAAAGGCCCACCAAGGCAGCGAUCGGUAGCCGGCCUGAGAGGGUGGACGGCCACAUUGGGACUGAGACACGGCCCAAACUCCUACGGAAGGCAGCAG